This is a long non-coding RNA of Pseudophryne corroboree (corroboree frog), 550 nucleotides long. RefSeq lists it as uncharacterized. The record is from RefSeq and is a predicted model, not a curated record. The transcript is spliced from 3 exons. Lineage: Eukaryota; Metazoa; Chordata; Amphibia; Anura; Myobatrachidae.
UCCUCUCAGGAAGCUCCCUUGGGGAGAGCUGGUUAGGCUGUACGGAUGUGAGGCUCCACGGAGUGGCACGGACUGCAGAAGCCAAAAGGAAUCAGACGUCCUUCAUCACACCGAAGAUCCAGUUUAGGACAGCUGAGGUGAUUGUGGCUCCUCACUUUGCGGACUUGCCAAAAUUGCCUGUGGUGGCAGGGGCAACACUGCGGAGAUGCGCCGCCGGGGUGGUGAUAAUGGAGCAGCAGACUCAGCCUCAACACGACGUCUCUUGGUUGGCCUCCUAGGCACACUCACCGAGCCCUGUGAUGGUCGCCUUAGUGGAGGUCGGCUUGCAGAAGAAGAACCUAUGUGAUAAGAGAAACAUUAAUAUUUUGAACUUCAAUGUGUUUGCAGAAUAUGUGAUUACAGUGAAUUCUUACCUGCAUUUCCACCAUCUGCAUCACUUGGUAGUGUUGGCUGUGGCCUGGCUGUGGUGCUUCUCUGGCGUACUGUUAAAAAAUGUUAAAAAACAUUAUGAACAUACUUUGAAUACUCACUGUUAUCUGAAUUUCCUUAU